UCUUUCUUUCAAGGGAAUGGAUUAGUUUCCACAAGAGCAGGUUGUUAAAAAGAGUUUGCUUCAUCUGUUUCUCUCUCUUGCUUUCUCUCUUGUCUUGCAAUCUCUGCACAUGCCUGCCCCUCUUCCAUUAUCUUCCAUGAGUGGAAUCAGCCUGAGGACCUCAACAGAUGCACCUGCCCAAUCUUAAACUUUCCAGCAAUCUGAAUUGAACUUUUCAGUGUAUGUGGAGGAUCUUCAUAUUUUCUUAUGCAACACAAGCCAAGUCUCCACGAUGUGCAUGAAAAAUUAUAAUAUAUCUCUAUUGUUGUUUUUUUUUGUGUUUAACUCAGUGAGCUAUAUAAAUUUUUUUCAUUUGAAGAUAAUAUUCUAUUUUUUUAAGCUGAAGAAACUUCAAACUACAACUUGUGAAAUGUUAUUACUUCAGUGAAACUCAUUUAUUCUUAUUAUUCCA
This 451-nucleotide long non-coding RNA is filed under the name Homo sapiens (human). RNAcentral's name for it is "HSALNT0306082". Lineage: Eukaryota; Metazoa; Chordata; Mammalia; Primates; Hominidae. The record is from RNAcentral.